CCUCUCAGGAAAGCUUUUUGCUCGAAUUAUGUUUCUCAUUCAAAUAUAAGACGAACAAAAGGUUUGUCUGAGGGCUG
RNAcentral lists this microRNA precursor (77 nucleotides) under Octodon degus (degu). Its description in RNAcentral is "microRNA 208b (ENSODEG00000021711.1)". It matches the Rfam family "mir-208 microRNA precursor family". Lineage: Eukaryota; Metazoa; Chordata; Mammalia; Rodentia; Octodontidae. The record is from Rfam by way of RNAcentral.